UAUAUGUGGAUUUUGGGGUAGGUGUGCCAAGAUGGCCGAGAGGAGGCAACACCGGAAUGCAGCUCCCAGCGAAUGAGAUGCAGAGGGCUAGAGGACUUAAUGAUUCCAAGUGAGGUGCUCGGUUCAUUUCAGUGGGGCUG
Sapajus apella (tufted capuchin) is the source of this 140-nucleotide long non-coding RNA. RefSeq lists it as uncharacterized. The transcript has 4 exons. The record is from RefSeq and is a predicted model, not a curated record. Lineage: Eukaryota; Metazoa; Chordata; Mammalia; Primates; Cebidae.